CCCCAAUUACGCGGCCGCGCUGGGAGAGCUUCAGCUCCGAGUCGGAAGCGGCAGCGAGACGGGAAGACCUGGCAUUUGUCCCCAGUAGCCCGGGACCCGGUGGCGGGCAAACGCCUAGAGAGGCCAGCGGGACGCAGGGCAGUGCGUGCGUACGGUGGCGUCCAGGCUCUUCCGAGGCCUCUGGUUCCCUUAAUCGCCACAACGGAAGCUUUCCUGUCGUACGUGUUCACGGCAGCACGGCGCACACCUAAGGCGUCGGUGGAAAGCCUCACCACCCCUGAGGAAACACCCCACAGGAAGUCCCUGGCCCACAGCCCUCAGCUCUGAGCAGUCCUGCUGCAGGGUCUUAGGGUGCUUCUUGUCGCCUUGGUCUUGGGGAGCCCAGUGAGUGCCGCCAGCCCCGUGGUGCAGCAAAGACCAGCUGGAGUCUGUAACUGUCCAGGCACCCCUACAGAGAAGCCAGAGAAGCACCAACCCCAUGGAAGGCCUUUCUGAUAGAGUCCCGCGUUCACUUCCUGACAAGCCGGAAGCCACUAGCUGAGGAGGAUGGGGCUGAAACAAGGACUCCUGCAGGGGACCAGCCAGCUGCGGAGCCUGGGAACCACCCUCUCUGCAGCUGGGUACUUACGGUCUCAGUUCUCCAUCGGUGGAGGAGGAGGGGAGGCUAGGCCCCCUCCACAGGGCAGCGGGUGUCCCCUCUGUCCGCCAGGAUCUGUGGGCUGUGAGCAGGGCUCCUCGAGGGGGUACAGGCCUGUGCUGCCCACCCUGCGUGGGGUGGAGAAGGGUUAGGAGCUCUCUGGCCUCUGCUCCAAGGCCUGCUCGUGUUCUCUCUCCCUCCUGCCUGUUCUUUCCAACAAUAAACAAGCUGAACAUGGCUCAGGUUAGACCUGUGAGCACUUCCCAAAGGUUAAGGGGCCCAAGGGGUAGAAAGUGAACUCAUGGGCCCUGGCCCACCACAAGGCUAAGCCAGAAGUCCCAGGGAGGUGUCCCUAAGUGAAAAGCGAUGGUUAACAGGGAGUGGAAAUGGGGGAGAAGUUCUCCAAACCCAUGCACCUGCUCCUCGGACUCCUUCCACACCUGCACUUGGUCGUGGCACAGAGUAGUCAUGCAUGCCCUUCAACCCUGUGGAUGACCUUCAGCCCUGGAACAAUUUCCUCCUCGGUAGUGAGAGGAGUUUGCCCUGGAUUAUCCUUGAGGGGCUUCCAUGCUCUGCCCCUCAAGAUCAUGAGUUGAGCCCCCAGGACUGUGUGCAGGACGUCCUGGGAGGAAGGAGUAAGAUAGCUUCAAGGACAGUAGUUAUUGUGCCUGCCCCAUACCUACUAAAUCAGAGGCAGGAACUAGAAAUUACAUUUGAACAAGCUCACACUAAAAUAUGAGGCAUACCACACUGGCCUUUUUCCAGUUCCUCAGCCACACAGCUUGGCACCUGCUGCCCCCUCCCCUCCAUCUUCCCAGAUGUCUUCCCUGACCACCAGGUCUAACAAUAAACCACAAAUCAUUUUGUAGUAUAGGUACGUCCUGUGCAACAUUAGGAAUUACACCAAUAAAGCAUUUGCUGUCAACCUGAAGCUGAAACUUCA
Molecule: long non-coding RNA, 1580 nt
Organism: Manis pentadactyla (Chinese pangolin)
Lineage: Eukaryota; Metazoa; Chordata; Mammalia; Pholidota; Manidae
Exons: 2
Source: RefSeq, a predicted model, not a curated record